GACGAACCGUGCAAACGUUAUUCGGAAUCACUGGGCUUAAAGCGUGCGUAGGCGGCUAAGAAAGUUGGGUGUGAAAUCCCUCGGCUCAACCGAGGAAUUGCGCUCAAAACUACUUAGCUUGAGGGAGUUAGAGGUGAGCGGAACUAAUGGUGGAGCGGUGAAAUGCGUUGAUAUCAUUAGGAACACCGGUGGCGAAAGCGGCUCACUGGGACUCUUCUGACGCUAAGGCACGAAAGCUAGGGUAGCGAACGGG
This 253-nucleotide ribosomal RNA is filed under the name uncultured bacterium. RNAcentral describes it as "partial 16S ribosomal RNA". It matches the Rfam family "Bacterial small subunit ribosomal RNA", at positions 524 to 776 of the family's 1533-position model. The record is from RNAcentral.